RNAcentral lists this ribosomal RNA (485 nucleotides) under uncultured bacterium. RNAcentral describes it as "partial 16S ribosomal RNA". It matches the Rfam family "Bacterial small subunit ribosomal RNA", at positions 28 to 507 of the family's 1533-position model. The record is from RNAcentral.
GAUGAACGCUAGCGAUAGGCUUAACACAUGCAAGUCGAGGGGCAGCGAGGGUAGCAAUACCUGUCGGCGACCGGCGCACGGGUGAGUAACGCGUAUGUAACCUGCCCGCAACAGGGGGAUAACCCGGCGAAAGUCGGACUAAUACCGCAUAAAACAGGGGUCCCGCAUGGGAAUAUUUGUUAAAGAUUUAUCGGUUGCGGAUGGGCAUGCGUACCAUUAGGUAGUUGGUGAGGUAACGGCUCACCAAGCCUUCGAUGGUUAGGGGUUCUGAGAGGAAGGUCCCCCACACUGGUACUGAGAAACGGACCAGACACCUACGGGAGGCAGCAGUGAGGAAUAUUGGUCAAUGGGAGAGAGCCUGAACCAGCCAAGUCGCGUGAAGGAUGACUGCCCUAUGGGUUGUAAACUUCUUUUACAAGGGAAUAAAAUGAGAUACGUGUAUUUUAUUGCAUGUACCUUGGGAAUAAGCAUCGGCUAACUCCGUG